Molecule: ribosomal RNA, 253 nt
Filed under: uncultured bacterium
Lineage: Bacteria
Description: partial 16S ribosomal RNA
Rfam family: Bacterial small subunit ribosomal RNA
Source: RNAcentral
UACGUAGGGUGCGAGCGUUGUCCGGAAUUAUUGGGCGUAAAGCGCACGUAGGCGGCUCUGCAAGUCGGAUGUGAAAUCCCUCGGCUCAACCAAGGAAGUGCAUCCGAAACUGCGGAGCUUGAGUACUUAAGAGGAUCGCGGAAUUCCCGGUGUAGAGGUGAAAUUCGUAGAUAUCGGGAGGAACACCAGUGGCGAAGGCGGCGAUCUGGGAAGAUACUGACGCUGAGGUGCGAAAGCGUGGGGAGCAAACAGG